ACCCGGAGGUCGGCUGGGGGUGUGGCGCCCUAUGACCUAUUCACAGCUGCGCUGGGCGUGCGCGCGCCCGAGCGGCGCGAGGUCGGGGUCGGGGGAUGUCGCAGUGGCUGGUGGUGGCGGCCGGGCCGCUCGCCGUGCUGUGGCGAUGCGGCGGUGGCCCACGAAGCGGCAGGACGGCCGAGGCAGGCGUGAGGGCCCUCGGAACCGCCCAGCAGUGCCUCCAGGGAAUCCGCUUUCAGCAGUUGGCUCUGUGGAAGAGACAGACGUCAGUUUCCCAGUGGCUGUGUUCAAAACCACCCAAAGGAACUAGUGAACCAAAGGACGCUGGUCCUGGAGCGGAUGGAGAGAAGAGAGGAGGAAAGCGGUAUGACCUUGCCUGGUGGAAGCGGUUGCAGAAGGGAGAGGUCCCCUGGGAUGACAAGGAUUUCCGCAGUCUGGCUGUUCUGGGGUCAGGUGUUGCUGUGGGAUUUCUCUACUUCUGUUUCCGAGAUCCUGGGAAGGAAAUCACCUGGAAGCACUUCGUGCAGUAUUACCUGGCGAGAGGUCUGGUGGACCGGCUGGAAGUCGUGAACAGACAGUUUGUGCGUGUUAUGCCUGCCCCUGCGACGUCUGAGAAGUUCGUGUGGUUCAACAUCGGCAGCGUGGACACCUUCGAGCGCAAGCUGGAGACCGCCCACUGGGAGCUGGGCAUCGAGCUCGCGGAGCAGACGGCCGUGGUCUACACCACCGAGAGCGACGGGUCUUUCUUGCGAAGCCUGGUGCCCACCUUUCUCCUGAUCGGAAUCCUCCUCUAUGUCGCGAGGAGGGGCCCGAUGGGGGCUGGGCGUGGCAGGCGAGGAGGGGGCCUCUUCACCGUUGGCGAGACCACAGCCAAGAUCAUGAAGAACAACAUCGGCGGUGCGCUUUGCAGACGUGGUUGGUUGCGAAGAAGCCAAGUUGGAGAUCGUGGAGUUUGUGAAUUUCCUGAAGAAUCCCAAGCAGUAUCAGGACCUUGGGGCCAAAAUUCCAAAGGGAGCCAUGCUCACUGGUCCUCCUGGUACCGGCAAAACGAUUCUCGCCAAGGCGACUGCAGGGGAGGCCAGUGUGCCCUUCAUCACCGUGAAUGGGUCCGAGUUCCUGGAAAUGUUUGUCGGCGUCGGUCCAGCUCGGGGUUCAGCUCUACCACGAACGUCAUGGUGCUGGCCGGCACCAGCCGCCCCGACAUCCUCGACCCAGCCCUGACGCGGCCUGGCCGGUUCGGCCGUCAGGUUUACGUUGCCCCCCCUGACAUCAAAGGCAGGUCGUCCAUCUUCAGGGUCCACCUGCGUCCACUCAAGUUGGACGAGAGCCUCAGCGAGGACGCCCUGGCGAGGAAGCUUGCGGCCCUCACUCCAGGCUUCACAGGUGCUGAUAUUUCUAACGUUUGCAACGAAGCGGCCCUGAUCGCCGCCCGCCACCUGAGUCCUUUUGUCCGGGAGAAGCACUUGGAGCAGGCCGUUGAGAGGGUCAUCGGAGGUCCCGAGAAGAAGACGCGGGUCCUGCAGCCCAGUGAGAAGAUGACGGUGGCCUACCAUGAGGCCGGCCACGCGGCGGUGGGCUGGUUCCUGGAGCACGCAGACCCCCUGCUCAAGGCGUCCAUCAUCCCCCGGGGCAAGGGGCUCGGCUACGCCCAGUGCCUGCCCAGGGAGCAGUGCCUGUACACGCGGGAGCAGCUCUCGGACCGCAUGUGCGCCGUGCUGGGUGGCCGGGUGGCCGAGCAGCUGUUCUUCGGGCAGAUCACCAUGGGGGCCCAGGAUGACCUGAGGAAGGUCACCCAGAGUGCCUACGCCCAGAUUGUGCAGUUCGGGAUGAGCAAGAAGCUGGGCCAGGUGUCCUUCGACCUCCCCCGACCCGGCGAGGUGCUGGCGGAGAAGCCAUACAGCGAGGCCAUGGCCCAGCUCAUCGACCAGGAGGCUCGGCGGCUGGUCAGCUCCGCGCACGCGCGCACCCCGGACCUGCUGACGUGCUGCCGGGAGCAGGAGACCUGGUGCCGGUACUGGGACGCCCACCUCCUCCUCGGCCACAGAAAAGAAAGCGCUAUUCACCUGUGCAUCCGGCAGAUUCCUGAGCGGGACUUGGAUGAACAAAAUAGCUCCCUUUGGCAGUGGUCUGGUCUUUAUUUUGUAAAUCCUGGUGUCCUGGCCUGUGUCAAAGCUGUGCAGGGGAGGAAGAAAAAGCAGAAGAUGCAACUUCUGGCAUCAAGGACACUGAUCUUUUGGCUGGAAGGAUGUGAAGGAAGCAGGACCUUUGCUUGGUCCUCGUGCGCAGCAAGGGGGGGUCUCCACUGAGAGAAGGGGACACGGAGCUCAGAGGGGCCUGGCUGCUUUGCCGGCAUCCCCAGCCUUUGCUCUCCAAACCUGCCCCAUCAAAUCCUCGCAAAGCUGCCACCCGGAAGCCCCGGGGUCCUCGUACUGCCAAUGGGAAGAAAAAGCUGGAUCCCUCCCACGAACAACAAAACAAAGAAAACCCACACCCACUAGCCCCUGAGUGUCUCUGGUGGUGCUUGGAGGGAGCGUGACAUGAGCCCCUAGACAGCCGUCUGGAAUGCACCUGCCCAACUCAGCCUGCAGACAGAGCAGUAGGUGGACCCACUGCUGCAGGACACCUCCAGGGCCAGCAUUUUGGUCUCCAGAGCAGGCCACUGGUGUGGCUAGGGGACCCCCAGCGGACCCCUAUGUGGUCAGGGAGUGGCUCCUUGGCAUGGGACCUCCAGGAAACCCCGGGGGCAUCUGGGGCCUGGCUGGGUGGGUGGAGGAGCCCGGCACUUUGCAUCCAAGUUCCGAGGCCGAUGGCACAGGAAACCCCUCCUGAAAGGUUCCUGGGAGGUUCCUAUGAACCUGUCCUAGGAAAGGUUUCCCUCCCACCGGGCCAGGGCCAGAGUAGGGCCAGACUCCAAGGGGAGAGACCCCCGGUACAUCUCUACCGUCCCGACAGCUGGCAGGGGCCGUGAAGAGGGGUCACUCCGUGCACACCUGCCCUCCCAGAUGUGUGAGCUCCUGGGCCUCGCCCCGGCAGCCAGCAACCCCUGCCGGCGUGGGAGCCUCCGCAGGCGGCGCCAGGUGAAGCUGAACACAGGGUAGGCAGCCGACCAAGGUGCCACAGCCGGGCGCUGGAAGCCAGGAGAUCCAAAUGCAAGCCCAUGGUCUGCACAAAGACAAAACAAACCGAAGAAAAGCAUCAGGGAGACAGAGUUUGUUCCCAGCUGGGCGUGGAAAAAUCCGCAGAGGAGGGAGAACUUUCUGCUCCCGUCAAGACAUUCCCUGUCUGUGCCCCUUCUGCUCGAACCUGGGCAAGCUUGUGGCUGCUCUGGCCAGUGGACUGUGGCAGGUUGAUGCCAUGUGACUUCCAAGGCUGCGUCUUAAGUAGGAUUCAGCUCUUUCCGAAGGCUCCCCUGGAACCCGGCCACCCUGUGUGAGAAAGCCCAGGCCAUUUGAGGGGCCACUUGAGUGUUUUCUGGCCCACAAUAGCCAAUGAACCAGACAUAAGGUCUCAGCCAGUAGCCAGGCGUGAGAGCCUGCCUUUGAGCCACCCCCAGGGGUAAUAUGUAGAACCGAGGUGGGCUGUCCCCACCGAGUCCCAGCCAAGUUGCAGAUUCAUGGGCAAAACAGAUGUUGUCGGGCUUCCCUGGUGGCGCAGUGGCUAAGAAUCCGCCUGCCAAUGCAGGAGACACAGGUUCGAGCCCUGGUCCGGGAAGAUCCCACAUGCCGUGGAGCAACAAAGCCUGUGCGCCACAACUACUGAGCCUGUGCUCUACAGCCCGUGCUCUGCAACAAGAGAAGCCACCGUAAUGAGAAGCCUGCGCAUUGCAAUGAAGAGUAGCCCCCCGCUCGCCACAACCAGAGAAAGCCCGCACGCAACGAAGACCCAACGCAACC
This is an RNA transcript of Balaenoptera ricei (Rice's whale), 3893 nucleotides long. It is a transcript of the gene named AFG3-like protein 1, with no coding region annotated. Lineage: Eukaryota; Metazoa; Chordata; Mammalia; Artiodactyla; Balaenopteridae. The record is from RefSeq and is a predicted model, not a curated record. The transcript has 20 exons.